Stegostoma tigrinum is the source of this 5076-nucleotide long non-coding RNA. RefSeq lists it as uncharacterized. The record is from RefSeq and is a predicted model, not a curated record. The transcript is spliced from 3 exons. Lineage: Eukaryota; Metazoa; Chordata; Chondrichthyes; Orectolobiformes; Stegostomatidae.
GGAAGUGAGUGGCUCAGGGAAGUUGUGUGGAGAGAGAAACAAUUAAUGGCGAGAGUCUGAUUUAACUCUUGUUCAGGACUGGAAGGCGCUUGAAAAUGCUGGGUUUUCGUGUUUUACACCGAGGGGGCAAGUAGGAGUGAGGGGAACAGAUGGUGAGAGUGCCCAGAGUCAAAGAAUGUCCUUUUUGUUGAAUAUUUUACCCCGCUCUUGAAUAUGUUUCCCGAUGUUUAUUUACAGCUGGACAUUUCACUCUGUUUCCCCGUAAAAGACACCGUAACUACAACCAAAAAAACUAACGUAAUAUUUUUUAAAAAUUAGCCAUACAACGACUGUGAGAAACAUUACAUCGGCCAAACUGGAAGAAAAUUGACAAUAAGGAGACACGAACAGCAAGUAGCCGCUAAGAGACACAACCAAUUCUCACUGUUUCAAUACACACGCAAGGACACAAAUUCAACUGGGGCAACACAUCCAUAAUAGCACAAUCCAAACAGAGACAUGCCAGGGGCUUCCGGGAGGCCUGGCAUGACAACUAAAACUCCACCAACAACGAUACUGAACUGCACCUGAUAUACAUACCACUGAAAAACAGAACCAGAAGCGAUGCCAACCACCCCAGUAUGUAUGGAAUGAGCUGCCAGAGGAAGGAGUGGAAGCUGGUACAAUUGGAACAUUAGAGCAUCUGGAUGGCAUUCUGGUAAAUUCUGGGACCACGCUUGUGACUGAGAGGUUGAAAAAGACAGCCAGAGCGACAGAUAUCGUGCAACAAUGAAGAAGCAGUAUUGACAGCUUUCAACAAUGAAGGAAUAUGCAGCGCACCUUGCUGCACGAAAUUACUUUACAUGUAUUCAAUCAUUUCGGGAUUUUAUAAACAGCACAAGAGGCUACAAUUUGCUCAAUUUUACACUGCAGCUAAUUUAUCAAAUAGUCUGGUAAACUUACGCACUGCUGCCCUUAGCUCUGCCCUGAACUUAGAUUGAGUAAGAGCGUACAUACAGGUGCUGGUGCUACAGUUCAGAACGCUGAGCAUCUUGCCGGUUUCAUUGACAAUAGCAAAUGGAUCAUUAAAGCUGCGAUAAGUAUAAGUUUCAGUGAUACGUGAGAACAGAAACAGUCCCACCGUGGGCAUCCACAGCAAUAUGAAACUUGCUGAGGCAGUACAAAGGAGGACUAAGGCUCUUCGCCGACUUUGCAUCUCAGGGUCCUGCGAUCCACCACCAUCUCCUCGGAAUCCUCGACGGACCUGGCUUGCAAUGAGUAUGUGUCUCACCAUCAGGAGAUUCAACAAAGCCACGGCAACAUAGGGAGCCAACGGUGUUAAAACCACGUGGACCCAGUAAAAGACUCUCCAUGCAGGAGCUGUGUCAAUGCUGGGAUUGGGUCUGCAGCCAAUCUGAACAUUAUUGUCCACUUGGAGCGGGAUAUUGCUGAAGUAAUAGGGUAUGUUUCUCACAUAACUGACAAAGUAAAUCACCCCGAUGACCAGAGCUGCGGAUUUUGGAGUACAGUAGCUUCUUCUGAGACUCUGGAAACAGAUCGAUAUGAAUCGGUCGAAAGUGAAAGAUACCGUUAACCAGACAGAACAAUCGAUCACUGCAGCCGUUGUAAUAGUGUUGAGGCGACAGGCUAAGGUAUAAUAAUAGAAUAGCUGUGGGAAGAGAUGGCUUAAAAUUUGAUUGACCAGGACGUAGAAAAGGAGGACCAGGAGAUCGCUUGUGGUCAUCGCUAUUAAGUAGAUUGUGCUGCUGUGGGCGAGGCCACAAUUCCUGAGUCGUAUUGUCAGUAGGGUGACAAUAUUGGCUGGAACAAAAAGAAUACAAUUAAUGCCAAAAAUAAAUGUCUGACAGAUUAAAUCUGAAUCAAUCAAUCUGAUUCAUUGCAAACUAUGAUAUUAGAAUCAGUUCAUUACAUAGUUCCCUCAAUAAUUAGGUAAUUUUUGGAAUCUCUCCAUUUCCCGCAGAUCUGCUCACACCUUCAGUAAUCCAUGAAAGCUUCCCUAAUUACAGUGACUUCAUCUGUAUCGUCUCCAUCUUCAAACACAGGCCUAAUCAUCUUGCCCCUCUCUGACAGUCACACAUCUUUUUCCUGUCCAUUUUCUGAAGAAUGGUCUCGACCCGAAGUGUCAGUUUCCUGCUCCUCUAAUGCUGCUUGGCCUGCUGUGUUCAUCCAGCUCUACCCUUUGCUAUCUCAGAUUCUCCAGCAUUGGCAGUUCCUACUAUUUCUAUCUCCUGUCCGAUCAGGUAACUCUGCAAAGCUCCCCUCCCACCGCCCCCACCCCCAAAUCAAAAGACAUGUAUUUGUUAAGAUAGUUUUUAUCUCAGCAUCUGGGAAUAAUUCCUUGAUUUGGUGCUGUUUAUCAGAUGCAUAAUUGUCCUCCCAAUUCAGAAAGGCUUCCCUGUUUUAAUAAAUUGUCUCGGUCACCUCUUGAUUCAUUCCAUACAUCAUUAAAAUUCAGUCAAAAAGAAACAAAUGUUGUGCAGGCCAUGGACCGUGACCGUAUUUUGGAGUUUUAAUCCUGCGUAAGAAGCUGCGGCUAAAGAGAAGUUUUUUUUUCCUCCCAGCCUAGAUAAAAAAUACAGGUGUCUACCUGAAAAUGUAGAAAAUACGCUAGUUUUCAUAUCCACAAAGCAUAUAUAAAAUCCAAGACAACCAGUUGCUACCCCAUGGGGCUCGCUCGGUUAUGAACACAAGCGUGCAAAGUGCCAUCAGGUAACCAUCAGAUACUGAACAAUAAAUUGUCCCGUGUGCUCAGUUAACUUACACCCAGGCCCAACGUGACAUCCACCUCAUUGGAACAUCGGCCUGAAUUUGUGCAACAGAUCUGGAAUUCAGUGGGGAAGUAAGGGUGGUUGAUCUUAAAAUCACAAAUUAUUUGAUACUGUGCAGCAUAAAGAAACACUCAUGAGUUUUCAGUCUCAGAAUGCAAUUAAAUCCAGAUAAACAUAAGGUACUGUACUUGUUCAGGACAACAAGGCAAUGGAAAUGAUGAUGAAGUUCAGGAUCUUGAUUCAAAGGGAAUUUGGUAUGCAUGUCCAUCUUUUCCUUAAUCUGUCAGCACAACUGAAAAUGUGGUUAGCAAGGUUUCUUGUCAGACUUCAUUAGCCAAGGCAUAAAGUUUCAACAGAAGUGUGGCUAUACUGAAUCUGUAUGAAACGUUGGUCAGGGCACAGCUGCAGUGUUGUAUGUAGUUUUCGAAUCAAAAUGACGGAAGCAAUAUGUUAUCGGUGUAGAUGUGUUGCCUGGGCUUCAGCAUUGGAGUUACUGCGUUCCUUUGAGCAGAGGAGAGUGAGUGGGGACGUGAUUGAGAUCGAAAACAAAUUGAGGAGCGUAGUUAGGGUAGUUAGGAAGAAAUGUUUCCACAUGAUGGAGUGAUCAAGGAUCAGUGGACAUGAAUUUAUGAUUGGGGUAGAGUGUUUGGAGUAGAAAAGGUGAAAAAUAAGAAUCUAUCAGACGAUGCAAAAUAUGAUAUCAGAAUAGAAAGGUUGUUUCUUUUCAUGGCUAAGACGUGAUAGACCAGAGGUCUUUCGCUCUGUUGUACCUGACUUUGAUGCUAUGAAUCUAAUAAUGUUUAUUUUUAAGAAAAACAUUGCCUAGUGCAUGGGUUUGUAAAUAAUUAAAAGUAAUGAUUUUGUAGAUUCAUAGAAUUAUACAGCCCAGAAACAAACCCUUCAGUCAACUUGUUUACGCCGACCAGAUAUCAUAAACUCACCUGUUCCCGUGUUCCAGCAUUUGGCCCAUAUUUCUCUAAACACUUCCUAUUCAUAUAAACACUCAGAUGAUUUUUAACUGCUGUGACUGUAUGGCCUUGGGCACCUCCUCAGGCAGGUUGUUCCAUACGCAUAUCACCAUCCGCAGGAACUGAUUGUAACCCAGGUCCCUUUUAAAUCUUUCCCCUCUCACCUACAUCCAUGCCCUCCAGAGACCUUGGCUUUUCGCCCUAUAUGCCCAAUCAUCAUAUUAUAGACCUUCGAAUGGUCACCCCUCAGAAUAUGAUGUAGCAGAUUCAAAAGCCCCAGCCUAUUCACCAUUUCUCUCUUGCUUCAAACCUGCAAUCCCCACAACAAUCUUGUAAAUCUUUUAUGAACCCUUUCAAAUUUAGUGUCAUCUUUAACAGGGAGAUGAGAAUUAAACUUAGUAUUCUUCACCCAGAGAGUUGUGAGCGAAUGGAAUAGUUUACCAGUGGUAGUCGUGGAAACGGAGUCAUUAGUGACAUUUAAGCGACUGCUGGACAUGCAAAUGGACAGCAGUGAAUUGAGGGGAAUGUAGGUUAGGUUAUUUUAUUUUUGGAUUUGGAAUAUUCCACGGCACAACAUCAUGGCCGAAGGGCCUGUACUGUGCUGUACUUUUCUAUGUUCUAUGUUCUAUUCUGAAAGUGGCCUUACCAAUGUCCUGAGCAACCACAACAUGAUGUCCCAACUUGUUUACUCAGUGUAGUGACCAAUGAAGAUAAAUAUACCUUGCUCACCACUUGCCUAGAUGCAGUUGCACUUUCAUGGAACAAUGAAUCAGUACCCUUAGAACUCUUUGUUCAAACACAGUCGCUCGGGCUGUAACAUUAAGUGUAUAAGUCCAAACCUGGUUUGCCUUACCAAAAUGCAACACGUUACAUUUAUCUAAAUUAAACACCAUCUGCCACUCCUCACCCCAUUGGCCCAUUUGAUCAAGGUCUGGUUGUACUCUGAGGUAACCUUUUUUCAUUUUCCACUACACCACCAAUUUUGGUGCCAUCUGCAAACUUACAAACCAGACCUCCCAAAUCCACGUCCAAAUUGCUGAUAUGAAUGGAAAAGUUGACCCGGCACAGAUCCUUGUGGAACACAUCCAGUCGCACAUCCAAGCUGAUAAACAAUCCCCGACCACCACCCUCUGUCUUCCAUCUUCAAUUGGCUAGCUCUCCCUGGAUUCAACUUGAUCGAACCUUCCGAACAAGUCACGGUGGCUCAGUGGUUAGCACUGCAGCCUCACAGCGCCAGAGACCAAGGUUCGAUUCCAGCCUCGGGUAACUGUCUGUGCGGAGUUUGCACAUUCUCCCCGUAUCUGCAUGGGUUUCCUCCGGGUGCUCGAGUUUCUUCCCAC